Molecule: ribosomal RNA, 1432 nt
Filed under: Staphylococcus aureus
Lineage: Bacteria; Bacillati; Bacillota; Bacilli; Caryophanales; Staphylococcaceae
Description: partial 23S ribosomal RNA
Rfam family: Bacterial large subunit ribosomal RNA
Source: RNAcentral
GUGCGAUUGGAUUGCACGUCUAAGCAGUAAGGCUGAGUAUUAGGCAAAUCCGGUACUCGUUAAGGCUGAGCUGUGAUGGGGAGAAGACAUUGUGUCUUCGAGUCGUUGAUUUCACACUGCCGAGAAAAGCCUCUAGAUAGAAAAUAGGUGCCCGUACCGCAAACCGACACAGGUAGUCAAGAUGAGAAUUCUAAGGUGAGCGAGCGAACUCUCGUUAAGGAACUCGGCAAAAUGACCCCGUAACUUCGGGAGAAGGGGUGCUCUUUAGGGUUAACGCCCAGAAGAGCCGCAGUGAAUAGGCCCAAGCGACUGUUUAUCAAAAACACAGGUCUCUGCUAAACCGUAAGGUGAUGUAUAGGGGCUGACGCCUGCCCGGUGCUGGAAGGUUAAGAGGAGUGGUUAGCUUCUGCGAAGCUACGAAUCGAAGCCCCAGUAAACGGCGGCCGUAACUAUAACGGUCCUAAGGUAGCGAAAUUCCUUGUCGGGUAAGUUCCGACCCGCACGAAAGGCGUAACGAUUUGGGCACUGUCUCAACGAGAGACUCGGUGAAAUCAUAGUACCUGUGAAGAUGCAGGUUACCCGCGACAGGACGGAAAGACCCCGUGGAGCUUUACUGUAGCCUGAUAUUGAAAUUCGGCACAGCUUGUACAGGAUAGGUAGGAGCCUUUGAAACGUGAGCGCUAGCUUACGUGGAGGCGCUGGUGGGAUACUACCCUAGCUGUGUUGGCUUUCUAACCCGCACCACUUAUCGUGGUGGGAGACAGUGUCAGGCGGGCAGUUUGACUGGGGCGGUCGCCUCCUAAAAGGUAACGGAGGCGCUCAAAGGUUCCCUCAGAAUGGUUGGAAAUCAUUCAUAGAGUGUAAAGGCAUAAGGGAGCUUGACUGCGAGACCUACAAGUCGAGCAGGGUCGAAAGACGGACUUAGUGAUCCGGUGGUUCCGCAUGGAAGGGCCAUCGCUCAACGGAUAAAAGCUACCCCGGGGAUAACAGGCUUAUCUCCCCCAAGAGUUCACAUCGACGGGGAGGUUUGGCACCUCGAUGUCGGCUCAUCGCAUCCUGGGGCUGUAGUCGGUCCCAAGGGUUGGGCUGUUCGCCCAUUAAAGCGGUACGCGAGCUGGGUUCAGAACGUCGUGAGACAGUUCGGUCCCUAUCCGUCGUGGGCGUAGGAAAUUUGAGAGGAGCUGUCCUUAGUACGAGAGGACCGGGAUGGACAUACCUCUGGUGUACCAGUUGUCGUGCCAACGGCAUAGCUGGGUAGCUAUGUGUGGACGGGAUAAGUGCUGAAAGCAUCUAAGCAUGAAGCCCCCCUCAAGAUGAGAUUUCCCAACUUCGGUUAUAAGAUCCCUCAAAGAUGAUGAGGUUAAUAGGUUCGAGGUGGAAGCAUGGUGACAUGUGGAGCUGACGAAUACUAAUCGAUCGAAGACUUAAUCAA